GAUGAACGCUGGCGGCGUGCCUAAUACAUGCAAGUAGAACGCUGAAGGAGGAGCUUGCUCUUCUGGAUGAGUUGCGAACGGGUGAGUAACGCGUAGGUAACCUGCCUGGUAGCGGGGGAUAACUAUUGGAAACGAUAGCUAAUACCGCAUGACAACAGUUAUUGCAUGAUAACUGUUUAAAAGGGGCAACUGCUCCGCUACCAGAUGGACCUGCGUUGUAUUAGCUAGUUGGUGAGGUAACGGCUCACCAAGGCGACGAUACAUAGCCGACCUGAGAGGGUGAUCGGCCACACUGGGACUGAGACACGGCCCAGACUCCUACGGGAGGCAGCAGUAGGGAAUCUUCGGCAAUGGACGGAAGUCUGACCGAGCAACGCCGCGUGAGUGAAGAAGGUUUUCGGAUCGUAAAGCUCUGUUGUAAGAGAAGAACGAGUGUGAGAGUGGAAAGUUCACACUGUGACGGUAUCUUACCAGAAAGGGACGGCUAACUACGUG
This 495-nucleotide ribosomal RNA is filed under the name uncultured bacterium. Its description in RNAcentral is "partial 16S ribosomal RNA". It matches the Rfam family "Bacterial small subunit ribosomal RNA", at positions 28 to 507 of the family's 1533-position model. The record is from RNAcentral.